CCUCAAAAUAACUCAACACACAGUCAUUAAAAGUGAAAAUGUCCAAAUUGGGCCCAAAGUGUGAGUAUUUUGUGUGGCCACCAUUAUUUUCCAGCACUGCCUUAACCCUCUUGGGCAUGGAAUUCACCAGAGCUUCACAGGUUGCCACUGGAGUCCUCUUCCACUCCUCCAUGACGACAUCACAGAGCUGGUGGAUGUUAGAGACCUUGCGCUCCUCCACCUUCCGUUUGAGGAUGCCCCACAGAUGCUCAAUAGGGUUUAGGUCUGGAGACAUGCUUGGCCUGUCCAUCACCUUUACCCUCAGGAUCUUUAGCAAGGCAGUGGUCGUCUUGGAGGUGUGUUUGGGGGCGUUAUCAUGUUGGAAUACUGCCCCUGCGGCCCAGACUCCAAAGGGAUGGAUCAUGCUCUGCUUCAUUAUGUCACAGUACAUGUUGGCAUUUAUGGUUCCCUCAAUGAACUGUAGCUCCCCAGUGGCGGCAGCACUCAUGCAGUCCCAGACCAUGACACUCCCACCACCAUGCUUGACUGUAGGCAAGACACACUUGUCUUUGUACUCCUCACCUGGUUGCCGCCACACACGCUUGACACCAUCUGAACCAAAUAAGUUUAUCUUUGUCUCAUCAGACCACAGGACAUGGUUCCAGUAAUCCAUGUCCUUAGUCUGCUUGUCUUCAGCAAACUGUUUGUGGGCUUUCUUGUGCAUCAUCUUUAGAAGAGGCUUCCUUCUGGGACAACAGCCAUGCAGACCAAUUAGAUGCAUUGUGUGGCGUAUGGUCUGAGCACUGACAGGCUGACCCCCCACCCCUUCAACCUCUGCAGCAAUGCUGGCAGCACUCAUACGUCUAUUUCCCAAAGACAACCACUGUAUAGUCUUGGCCACCGUGCUGCAGCUCAGUUUCAGGGUCUUGUUAAUCUUCUUAUAGCCUAGGCCAUUUUUAUGUAGUGCAACAAAAAAAAAAUCAGAUCCUCAGAGAGUUCUUUGCCAUGAGGUACCACGUUGAACUUCCAGUGACCAGUAUGAGGGAGUGUGAGAGCGAUAACUUUAACACAUCUUCUCCCCAUUCACACCUAAGACCUUGGGGGAGGGAAAAUGGCUAAUUGAGCCCAAUUUGGACAUUUUCACUUAGGGGUGUACUCACUUUUGUUGCCAGCGGUUUAGACAUUAAUAGCUGUGUGUUGUGUUAUUUUGAGGGGACACCAAAUUUACAUUGUUAUGCAAGCUGUACACUCACUACUUUACAUUGUAGC
This is a long non-coding RNA of Esox lucius (northern pike), 1248 nucleotides long. NCBI's taxonomy places the organism in Eukaryota, Metazoa, Chordata, Actinopteri, Esociformes, Esocidae. The record is from Ensembl.